RNAcentral lists this long non-coding RNA (1346 nucleotides) under Homo sapiens (human). RNAcentral's name for it is "HSALNT0021350". The stretch from base 621 to 742 matches the Rfam family "Small nucleolar RNA SNORA26". Lineage: Eukaryota; Metazoa; Chordata; Mammalia; Primates; Hominidae. The record is from RNAcentral.
CUACAUUCACAGAGGCCUGUUUCCAUCCUAAAUGCGCAACUAGACUUUACUAAUUUGACUCUAAAUGAAACUAGUAUUCACUCACAUGUGGUUUCUGGACUUUGUCUAUCAAACGUGUUCCCUGUGAGAUGUGUUCUUGUUAUUCUCCCUCUCUAAACAUUGUGAAAAAGGCAGGGAAAAUUCUUUCUGUAUGGUAAUAAACUGCGUGAUUUGUGAAAUCAUACCUUAUUUUAACCACAUAAAACGAUCUCAAAAUCAUUAUGCUGAGUGAAAGAAGCCAGACCUGAAGGACUACACUUAACUUACUGUAUCAUUCUAUUUUAUAUGACAUUAUGGAAGAGGCAAAACUAUAGGGAUAAAAAACAGAUUGGUGGUAGCCAGGAGCUAGAGAGAGGGAACUGACUGCACAGGGGCAUGAGGAAAGUUUUUGGGGUAAAGGAAAUAUUCUAUGUCUUGACUAUGGUCAUGGUUUCAUGACUGCAUACAUUUGGUGAAUUUUAUCUGAUACAAAUUAUACCUCACUAAAUCUGAUAUUUAAAAAAUUAAAAAAAAAACCCAACCAAGAAAAAAGAGUUAAUAUUCAAUUUUCUAAAAAAUGCAUUAAGAAUUUGCCCUUUCUUAUGCCCUUUUAAGGUUGAUGUGGUGCUUUAAGAAGCUAACAUAGAAGGAUAAAGUAAGUCUCUACAAAACCCAGAGAAGAGACUGGAAAACUCCUCUCUGGAUCCUGCCUGGAGUCACAGCUGUACCAGGAAAAAAAAAAAAAAAUUCACUAAGAAUGAAUACCUUGGUAAGGAUUUAACAGCAUCAAUUUCAAAUGUCUCUGUUUAGUAUUUUACCAGUCACAAAAUGCUGAUUAUGUCCUCACAGGAAUAAGUAUCUUAGAAUAUCUCUGUCCAGUAACCUUUGAUUAUUCUUAAAAAAAACAACAAAGGAGGCCAGGCACAGUGGCUCAUGCCUGUAAUCCCAGCACUUUGGGAGGCCGAGGCUGGCAGAUCACCUGAGGCCAGGAGUUCAAGACCAGCCUGGGCAACAUGGUAAAACCCCGUUUAAAUACAAAAAUUAGCCCAGCGUGAUGGCAGGCACCUGUAAUCACAGCUACUAGGGAGGCUGAGGCAUGAGAACUGCUUGAACUCGGGAGGCGGAGGUUGCAGUGAGCCAAUAUCACGCCACUGCACUCCAGCCUGGGUGACAGAGACCCUGUCUCCAAAAAAAACAAAAAGACAAAGGAAAUCUGAAGGCUUUUCCUAGUUGCCACAAUGUUUCAUACAAAAGACAACCACAAAGUAAAACUGCAUAGGUAAUUUCUAUCAUUUACUAAUGGGUGAUGUUCCGUAAUGCACUCAUGU